RNAcentral lists this ribosomal RNA (466 nucleotides) under uncultured bacterium. RNAcentral describes it as "partial 16S ribosomal RNA". It matches the Rfam family "Bacterial small subunit ribosomal RNA", at positions 28 to 507 of the family's 1533-position model. The record is from RNAcentral.
GACGAACGCUGGCGGCGCGCCUAACACAUGCAAGUCGAACGAGCGAGAGAGAGCUUGCUUUCUCGAGCGAGUGGCGAACGGGUGAGUAACGCGUGAGGAACCUGCCUCAAAGAGGGGGACAACAGUUGGAAACGACUGCUAAUACCGCAUAAGCCCACGGCUCGGCAUCGAGCAGGGGGAAAAGGAGCAAUCCGCUUUGAGAUGGCCUCGCGUCCGAUUAGCUAGUUGGUGAGGUAACGGCCCACCAAGGCGACGAUCGGUAGCCGGACUGAGAGGUUGAACGGCCACAUUGGGACUGAGACGCGGCCCAGACUCCUACGGGAGGCAGCAGUGGGGAAUAUUGCACAAUGGGGGAAACCCUGAUGCAGCGACGCCGCGUGGAGGAAGAAGGUCUUCGGAUUGUAAACUCCUGUUGUUGGGGAAGAUAAUGACGGUACCCAACAAGGAAGUGACGGCUAACUACGUG